GACGAACGCUGGCGGCGUGCCUAAUACAUGCAAGUAGAACGCUGAAGGAGGAUCUUGCUUCUCUGGAUGAGUUGCGAACGGGUGAGUAACGCGUAGGUAACCUGCCUGGUAGUGGGGGAUAACUAUUGGAAACGAUAGCUAAUACCGCAUAAUAGCAGUUGUUGCAUGAUAACUGUUUGAAAGGUGCAAUUGCACCGCUACUAGAUGGACCUGCGUUGUAUUAGCUAGUUGGUGGGGUAACGGCUCACCAAGGCGACGAUACAUAGCCGACCUGAGAGGGUGAUCAGCCAAAAUGGGAAUGAGAAAAGGCACAGAAUCAUAAGGGAGGGAGCAGUAGGGAAUCUUCGGCAAUGGACGGAAGUCUGAACGAGAAACGCCGAGUGAGUGAAGAAGGGUUUCGGAUCGUAAAGCUCUGUUGUAAGAGAAGAAAGAGUGUGAGAGUGGAAAGUUCACACUGUGACGGUAUCUUACCAGAAAGGGACGGCUAACUACGUG
RNAcentral lists this ribosomal RNA (495 nucleotides) under uncultured bacterium. RNAcentral describes it as "partial 16S ribosomal RNA". It matches the Rfam family "Bacterial small subunit ribosomal RNA", at positions 28 to 507 of the family's 1533-position model. The record is from RNAcentral.